AUUGAACGCUGGCGGCAGGCCUAACACAUGCAAGUCGAACGGUAACAGGAAGAAGCUUGCUUCUUUGCUGACGAGUGGCGGACGGGUGAGUAAUGUCUGGGAAACUGCCUGAUGGAGGGGGAUAACUACUGGAAACGGUAGCUAAUACCGCAUAACGUCGCAAGACCAAAGAGGGGGACCUUCGGGCCUCUUGCCAUCGGAUGUGCCCAGAUGGGAUUAGCUAGUAGGUGGGGUAACGGCUCACCUAGGCGACGAUCCCUAGCUGGUCUGAGAGGAUGACCAGCCACACUGGAACUGAGACACGGUCCAGACUCCUACGGGAGGCAGCAGUGGGGAAUAUUGCACAAUGGGCGCAAGCCUGAUGCAGCCAUGCCGCGUGUAUGAAGAAGGCCUUCGGGUUGUAAAGUACUUUCAGCGGGGAGGAAGGGAGUAAAGUUAAUACCUUUGCUCAUUGACGUUACCCGCAGAAGAAGCACCGGCUAACUCCGUGCCAGCAGCCGCGGUAAUGCGGAGGGUGCAAGCGUUAAUCGGAAUUACUGGGCGUAAAGCGCACGCAGGCGGUUUGUUAAGUCAGAUGUGAAAUCCCCGGGCUCAACCUGGGAACUGCAUCUGAUACUGGCAAGCUUGAGUCUCGUAGAGGGGGGUAGAAUUCCAGGUGUAGCGGUGAAAUGCGUAGAGAUCUGGAGGAAUACCGGUGGCGAAGGCGGCCCCUGGACGAAGACUGACGCUCAGGUGCGAAAGCGUGGGGAGCAAACAGGAUUAGAUACCCUGGUAGUCCACGCCGUAAACGAUGUCGACUUGGAGGUUGUGCCCUUGAGGCGUGGCUUCCGGAGCUAACGCGUUAAGUCGACCGCCUGGGGAGUACGGCCGCAAGGUUAAAACUCAAAUGAAUUGACGGGGGCCCGCACAAGCGGUGGAGCAUGUGGUUUAAUUCGAUGCAACGCGAAGAACCUUACCUGGUCUUGACAUCCACGGAAGUUUUCAGAGAUGAGAAUGUGCCUUCGGGAACCGUGAGACAGGUGCUGCAUGGCUGUCGUCAGCUCGUGUUGUGAAAUGUUGGGUUAAGUCCCGCAACGAGCGCAACCCUUAUCCUUUGUUGCCAGCGGUCCGGCCGGGAACUCAAAGGAGACUGUUAGUGAUAAACUGGAGGAAGGUGGGGAUGACGUCAAGUCAUCAUGGCCCUUACGACCAGGGCUACACACGUGCUACAAUGGCGCAUACAAAGAGAAGCGACCUCGCGAGAGCAAGCGGACCUCAUAAAGUGCGUCGUAGUCCGGAUUGGAGUCUGCAACUCGACUCCAUGAAGUCGGAAUCGCUAGUAAUCGUGGAUCAGAAUGCCACGGUGAAUACGUUCCCGGGCCU
RNAcentral lists this ribosomal RNA (1362 nucleotides) under uncultured bacterium. RNAcentral describes it as "bacterial SSU rRNA". It matches the Rfam family "Bacterial small subunit ribosomal RNA", at positions 28 to 1381 of the family's 1533-position model. The record is from RNAcentral.